AGAUGAUAUAACUCCUAGUAAUGCAAAUAAGAGAACGCGUGAAAAUUUUCUUGGUAACAGCUGCUUGGUAUAACUACAUGAUACAGACACACAUGACCCCAGCAAGAGAAAAAUGUACACCACCACUUUUUUUUUUUUUAAAUAAUUUGAAGAAGUUUACAAAACACCCACCAUUUGAUUGCUACUUGCCCUUAAAAUAGCACAUGGGUUGUUGCACAUUUCUGUAGAAAAGAGCUCAGUGAAAUUCCCAAAACACUCUAAUCAAGGCACCGAACGCAGAUGUGGCUGUAAGCCCUACUGCCAAUGCCAUGUCCAUAUAUCCUCGUGAGCCCUACCAGUUAGACUCAGUAGAUUUGCUCCCAUAAAACACAGUUGAUUUCACAGCCUCAGAUGCAUAGGAAUUUUCUCGCUCCAAGGAACAACACAGAUUUUGUGUUCUACCAUUAUACGUAUAGAUAUUAGAAAAACAAGACAAAAUCAACUAAGGGGCACAAUGCACACAGAUUCUUAGGGACAAAAGAUGCCUCCUGUACAAGACAAGUUAACAAGGAAUCUAACACGAGAUGAAUCAUAUGCAAGACACAGAAUCCAUAAGAUCUGUUGUGGUACAUGUAUUCCUAGUAUAAUAACCAGCAGUAAUAUAAAUUGAGCUGAACAAACAUAUAGCAACUGAAGGAUACAUUAAUGGUCUUUCAAUAGUUAUAAAACCCCCACCUUACAACUUUUGCAACUAGCAGCUAGGCUUAAUUGCCCCUACCCAACGUUCACCCACCUUAAUAUUUGGGUUGGCCACGCCUGUACGCAUUAAUACCAUCACCACUUUCUUAUCUACCAGCAAUAAAAACUCAUCUAUCAAAGGUGGGUUUUACACCAGCAAUUAGCACUCACCAACUUAAGGUAAUAUAAAACCAGUUGGCCUCUCUCUUCCUUUUGGUUUUGGCAUGUGUGUGCUGAAGGGUGCCAUUUAUCCAAAAAAAAAAAAAAAAGGACCACCCCGAUCGAUACAUGAUCUGUUGGAACUUGGCAGGACAAUAGCAUGCAUAGAAUGCGCAGGUUGACUUUGGAUUUCUCAGCCCCACUAAAACAGAAGCACCAAUGCCAGAACAAAUAUGCUCUUGAGUGGUGGAACUAGAAAAUAUACUGUAGCUAUGCCAAUUUGCUUUCUGCUAGUCCUAAGGAGGGUGAGUCGAUAGUAAAAAAAUUUAUAUAAUUAGCUAUGGUAAUUAUGCUAAUUGAUCAAUAAAGUUUAGGCUAUGUGGGAUUAUAUGGGGCUUAUGAGAAGGAAAGAGCUACCAGUUGUAACCCACCGUUGAACCAAAAAAAGGCAAAAUGUGCUUUCUGCUAAACACUAUGUGCAUGAAUCAAGUUCAAGGAAAUGGAAGUGGGAGAAACAAAAGGAAAAGUGGGAAUAAGGACAACCACAUUGACAAAGAAAUACCGAACAUGUUACAACAAAAACAUGAGUGAAAAUGAAGAUACCCAAUUGAUGUUGAAAAAUGAGCUCCUAAUGUUGCAAUCUGCGUUACAUCCACUGGUAGAAUAAACAAAUAUUAGCAAGUAAGAAGACAAUAUUAAAAUAAAAUGAAUCUUAAUAUUUGUCAUGAGUAAACAAACAAGCCCAAUUGAGCACUAGUAUUAAUAUAUUCUUGAAACAACUAAUUAAAUUAUCACAAACAACAGUAGUUUAAUAAACAAAGAACAAUGUUUCCCCAAAUAUCAUAUUACGCUAAUCCUAGCUCUGCUACUAUCUUAAAGCACCGCUACUUCCGUAAAAUCUAUACACAAUUCCCUCUGGAAAUAGCAACUCUCAACACUAAUAGUAUUCUUAUAAAUAAUAAUAAAAUUAUAAACAAACAAAUGAAGUACAGAUAUUCUUCUUCCCAUUCACACUCUCAACAGGAUCAAGAAGAUGACCCCAGAAAAAAAUUAAUGCAAGAUAUAAAGAUUUAGAUAUGGCAUCCAAAACAAUUACAGGUCUUGGGAGUGAAAGAACAGAAACCAAAGGGCCUGUUGGGAAUGUUGCAAUUGAUGGCAUAGCAACAAGGAGAAGGCAAGCAAAGCCCCUUAGCACCGCCACAGCAAGUGCAAAGAGCACAUAUCUGGAAGCUACCCAACCUCCUCCUGCUCUCAUUCGCCAUCAGUCUCAUCUCCACCACCUUCUCAGGCUCCAUAAAUGGCACCAUAUCAUUGGUAGUUGCAGACCCAUUUGCCUCCAAAUCAAGAGACAAACAAAACAAACAUUCAAUCCACAAAACAACCACAAGAAUAAUGACCAAUUUGAAAAGAAAUGAAAAGGGAUCUAAGAAAUUAAAAAGCGUGUUAUAACUGAAAGAAAUAAAGAAACACUCACUUGGGCUACACUUGUACUUGCUUCACUGUAACUGAUGACAUUAGCCAAAAGCAGCAAGAGCAGAAUGAGAGGAAGGGUGACCCCAUAGGCAGCAGACAUAAUGUAUGUUUAUCUUUCUUUUAAGAUGGGUUUUGGAUUUGUUUGAGCUAAAUUUGUAUCAGCUGGUAACCGGGUUUUGGUUUUGAUCUGCUCUGGAGAGGUAAUUGAUUUGAUGGAUCAUAAAUAUAAAUGCAUUUUUAGUUUAGUUGAUGGGUUUUCAAGUGCCUUAGGUUUUAGGUGGUAUUAAAGAGAAAGAGAGAGAGAGAGAGAGGACUAAGGCUAGAAUUCUAUGAUGAAUCCACCCAUUGGAGAUCUGUGAGGGACUCCCUUCCUCCUCUUGGCAGUAGUCCUGUAACUCACAGAAGUUGGUGGUGGUGUUGAUGGUGUAAAGCUUUGGAUUUUGCUUUUGCUAUUAUCACUUCCCUUAUUGAUAAUGCCAAUGCUAUUAUUCAUUGAUUCUUCUGUGUCUGAUCCAUUCAUUUCCUUGCGCAUUUUCUUCUUCCUGAAGUUCUUUGAUGUCACAACAAUCUUGCAUCCAAGGGAACAGAAACUGAAAGAAUCAAGAAGGCUACGGUGACAGACUUGACAAGCAUUGGUGACACCUUUACCAGGCCUAGGCUGAGGCCUCUCAUUCAAAAACACAAUUCUAGCACUGUUGAUAAUGUAGGUCUGGACUCCUGUUAUGUCCAGGUAUUUCUGAAUCUCAGACACUCUAAUCACAUCAUGGUAUGAUGAUCUCCUUAUCUGAAUAGCUUUAUGGUCUUUGUGAAAUGAGAGACAAAGAGAACAAAGGGCACCAUUCUUGCAGUCCAAGCAAUACAUGUUGCAUUCACUCUUGUGAGCAUCAGCAUGAAGCUUGCAUUGAACGAAGAAGCUUGUUUGGAGAAGAGGACGCAGCCAUGGCGGCCACUUGACAUCUUCUUCAUUAUCAGCAUCGCCACCACCACCAUCAUCAUCAGGGCCUCCAACACCCAUGAUUCUUCUGCUUUUUCGUUUCAUUUCUCUCACAGUGAUUUCUUGGUCAGUGAUGAUCAUCUGAACAGUUUUGGAGAAAGAAAAGGGAGCUUUCUUUCAAUCUGUCUUGCUAGGAGAGAGAGAGAGAGAGAGGA
RNAcentral lists this unclassified non-coding RNA (3498 nucleotides) under Hevea brasiliensis (rubber tree). The record is from RNAcentral. Lineage: Eukaryota; Viridiplantae; Streptophyta; Magnoliopsida; Malpighiales; Euphorbiaceae.